CCUAGCUGGUCUGAGAGGAUGACCAGCCACACUGGAACUGAGACACGGUCCAGACUCCUACGGGAGGCAGCAGUGGGGAAUAUUGCACAAUGGGCGCAAGCCUGAUGCAGCCAUGCCGCGUGUAUGAAGAAGGCCUUCGGGUUGUAAAGUACUUUCAGCGGGGAGGAAGGGGGAAUGGUUAUUUCAUUGACGUUACCCGCAGAAGAAGCACCGGCUAACGUGCCAGCAGCCGCGGUAAUACGGAGGGUGCAAGCGUUAAUCGGAAUUACUGGGCGUAAAGCGCACGCAGGCGGUCUGUCAAGUCGGAUGUGAAAUCCCCGGGCUCAACCUGGGAACUGCAUCCGAAACUGGCAGGCUUGAGUCU
RNAcentral lists this ribosomal RNA (364 nucleotides) under Enterobacteriaceae bacterium. Its description in RNAcentral is "bacterial SSU rRNA". It matches the Rfam family "Bacterial small subunit ribosomal RNA", at positions 282 to 649 of the family's 1533-position model. The record is from RNAcentral. Lineage: Bacteria; Pseudomonadati; Pseudomonadota; Gammaproteobacteria; Enterobacterales; Enterobacteriaceae.